This 482-nucleotide ribosomal RNA is filed under the name uncultured bacterium. RNAcentral describes it as "bacterial SSU rRNA". It matches the Rfam family "Bacterial small subunit ribosomal RNA", at positions 37 to 507 of the family's 1533-position model. The record is from RNAcentral.
AUUGUGGUUGAAAUGAUAUGAAGAACUUGUUCAGAUUUGAAUUUUCAACAUUGACAAUGAGUGGCGAACGGUGAGUAACACGUGGGAAACCUACCUCUUAGCAGGGGAUACAUUGGAAACAAAUGCUAAUACCGUAUAAUAAUUAAAACCGCAUGGUUUUAGUUUAAAAGAUGGUCUUGCUAUCACUAAGAGAUGGUCCCGCGGUGUAUUAGUUAGUUGGUGAGGUAAUGGCUCACCAAGACAAUGAUACAUAGCCGAGUUGAGAGACUGACCGGCCACAAUGGGACUGAGACACGGCCCAUACUCCUACGGGGGGCAGCAGUAGGGAAUCUUCCACAAUGGACGAAAGUCUGAUGGAGCAACGCCGCGUGUGUGAUGAAGGGUUUCGGCUCGUAAAACACUGUUGUAAGAGAAGAAUGACAUUGAGAGUAACUGUUCAAUGUGUGACGGUAUCUUACCAGAAAGGAACGGCUAAAUACGUG